Long non-coding RNA from Hemicordylus capensis (graceful crag lizard), 706 nucleotides. RefSeq lists it as uncharacterized. The record is from RefSeq and is a predicted model, not a curated record. The transcript is spliced from 2 exons. NCBI's taxonomy places the organism in Eukaryota, Metazoa, Chordata, Lepidosauria, Squamata, Cordylidae.
GUUUCAUGAUACGGUGUGGUCCUCUUGAAGAGGUGGUCAAUGGACAGAAUAAACACAUAGAGGAGCAGCAUGUUGAGCAACAAGGAAGCUGUUUUUGGUGAAGCUCAGUGACACCACUGUGUCUGCAGAAGCUCUUUAUGCAAUCUUUUACAUACCAGCUGAUUUUAAUUAUCAUCAUAAUUUCCCCAUUUCAACAGACACUAGAAAACAGUCCUCAUAAACAAUAGCAUAGUUAUGACUUUGCAUGUUCAAAACAAAUCCGAGAAUCCUUAUCUUAUAAAAUGUUCUUUUUAAUUGAAUAUGUGAUUAUUUUACGGUGGUGUUGCUGUUGAAAGUCCUCAGUAGCCUGCUACAGAGAAUAUGCUGUGUGCCAUCUCUCACUCAUUAAAUGUUUAAACAAGAUGCCAUUAGUAUUGAUUAAUUCAGCUGCAAAUGAACACUUAAUCUUAAAAUAGGCAAUGAUCACUGUAUUCUGAAUUUUAGGCUUGCUGAGUUUAUUCUGAAGUGAUAAUUUAGGACCUCAGAUAAGGUGUUAUGAAUUAUAUUUUCAGAAGUAGCAUUUUAAUAGGAUAUGAAUUUAAAGAUGAAAAAUCUGUAUGGCAAGCCAAACAGCAGCUUUGCUGAAUUACUGUUUUGAAAGUUUUGAAUGUGCUUUGACUUAAAGCAUUCUGUAUUUGAUACAAUUAAAAAUAAUACUUACAUCUCA